RNAcentral lists this ribosomal RNA (530 nucleotides) under uncultured bacterium. RNAcentral describes it as "bacterial SSU rRNA". It matches the Rfam family "Bacterial small subunit ribosomal RNA", at positions 777 to 1304 of the family's 1533-position model. The record is from RNAcentral.
AAUAGAUACCCUGGUAGUCCACGCCGUAAACGUUGGGCGCUAGAUGUGGGGACCUUUCCACGGUUUCCGUGUCGUAGCUAACGCAUUAAGCGCCCCGCCUGGGGAGUACGGCCGCAAGGCUAAAACUCAAAGGAAUUGACGGGGGGCCCGCACAAGCGGCGGAGCAUGCGGAUUAAUUCGAUGCAACGCGAAGAACCUUACCAAGGCUUGACAUACACGAGAACGGGCCAGAAAUGGUCAACUCUUUGGACACUCGUGAACAGGUGGUGCAUGGUUGUCGUCAGCUCGUGUCGUGAGAUGUUGGGUUAAGUCCCGCAACGAGCGCAACCCUCGUCGCAUGUUGCCAGCACGUUAUGGUGGGGACUCAUGUGAGACUGCCGGGGUCAACUCGGAGGAAGGUGGGGAUGACGUCAAAUCAUCAUGCCCCUUAUGUCUUGGGCUUUACGCAUGCUACAAUGGCCGGUACAAAGGGCUGCGAUGUCGUAAGGCGGAGCGAAUCCCAAAAAGCCGGUCUCAGUUCGGAUUGAGGU